This 1372-nucleotide ribosomal RNA is filed under the name uncultured bacterium. RNAcentral describes it as "bacterial SSU rRNA". It matches the Rfam family "Bacterial small subunit ribosomal RNA", at positions 28 to 1381 of the family's 1533-position model. The record is from RNAcentral.
GAUGAACGCUGGCGGCGUGCCUAAUACAUGCAAGUCGAGCGAACGGACGAGAAGCUUGCUUCUCUGAUGUUAGCGGCGGACGGGUGAGUAACACGUGGAUAACCUACCUAUAAGACUGGGAUAACUUCGGGAAACCGGAGCUAAUACCGGAUAAUAUUUUGAACCGCAUGGUUCAAAAGUGAAAGACGGUCUUGCUGUCACUUAUAGAUGGAUCCGCGCUGCAUUAGCUAGUUGGUAAGGUAACGGCUUACCAAGGCAACGAUGCAUAGCCGACCUGAGAGGGUGAUCGGCCACACUGGAACUGAGACACGGUCCAGACUCCUACGGGAGGCAGCAGUAGGGAAUCUUCCGCAAUGGGCGAAAGCCUGACGGAGCAACGCCGCGUGAGUGAUGAAGGUCUUCGGAUCGUAAAACUCUGUUAUUAGGGAAGAACAUAUGUGUAAGUAACUGUGCACAUCUUGACGGUACCUAAUCAGAAAGCCACGGCUAACUACGUGCCAGCAGCCGCGGUAAUACGUAGGUGGCAAGCGUUAUCCGGAAUUAUUGGGCGUAAAGCGCGCGUAGGCGGUUUUUUAAGUCUGAUGUGAAAGCCCACGGCUCAACCGUGGAGGGUCAUUGGAAACUGGAAAACUUGAGUGCAGAAGAGGAAAGUGGAAUUCCAUGUGUAGCGGUGAAAUGCGCAGAGAUAUGGAGGAACACCAGUGGCGAAGGCGACUUUCUGGUCUGUAACUGACGCUGAUGUGCGAAAGCGUGGGGAUCAAACAGGAUUAGAUACCCUGGUAGUCCACGCCGUAAACGAUGAGUGCUAAGUGUUAGGGGGUUUCCGCCCCUUAGUGCUGCAGCUAACGCAUUAAGCACUCCGCCUGGGGAGUACGACCGCAAGGUUGAAACUCAAAGGAAUUGACGGGGACCCGCACAAGCGGUGGAGCAUGUGGUUUAAUUCGAAGCAACGCGAAGAACCUUACCAAAUCUUGACAUCCUUUGACAACUCUAGAGAUAGAGCCUUCCCCUUCGGGGGACAAAGUGACAGGUGGUGCAUGGUUGUCGUCAGCUCGUGUCGUGAGAUGUUGGGUUAAGUCCCGCAACGAGCGCAACCCUUAAGCUUAGUUGCCAUCAUUAAGUUGGGCACUCUAAGUUGACUGCCGGUGACAAACCGGAGGAAGGUGGGGAUGACGUCAAAUCAUCAUGCCCCUUAUGAUUUGGGCUACACACGUGCUACAAUGGACAAGACAAAGGGCAGCGAAACCGCGAGGUCAAGCAAAUCCCAUAAAGUUGUUCUCAGUUCGGAUUGUAGUCUGCAACUCGACUACAUGAAGCUGGAAUCGCUAGUAAUCGUAGAUCAGCAUGCUACGGUGAAUACGUUCCCGGGUCU